GGGUUGUGAGGUUAAGCGACUAAGCGUACACGGUGGAUGCCCUGGCAGUCAGAGGCGAUGAAGNNNNNNNNNNNNNNNNNNNNNCCGAAUGGGGAAACCCAGUGUGAUUCGUCACACUAUCAUUAACUGAAUCCAUAGGUUAAUGAGGCGAACCGGGGGAACUGAAACAUCUAAGUACCCCGAGGAAAAGAAAUCAACCGAGAUUCCCCCAGUAGCGGCGAGCGAACGGGGAGGAGCCCAGAGCCUGAAUCAGCAUGUGUGUUAGUGGAAGCGUCUGGAAAGGCGCGCGAUACAGGGUGACAGCCCCGUACACAAAAGCGCAUGUGCUGUGAGCUCGAUGAGUAGGGCGGGACACGUGGUAUCCUGUCUGAAUAUGGGGGGACCAUCCUCCAAGGCUAAAUACUCCUGACUGACCGAUAGUGAACCAGUACCGUGAGGGAAAGGCGAAAAGAACCCCGGCGAGGGGAGUGAAAAAGAACCUGAAACCGUGUACGUACAAGCAGUGGGAGCACAGGUUUACCUGUGUGACUGCGUACCUUUUGUAUAAUGGGUCAGCGACUUAUAUUCUGUAGCAAGGUUAACCGUAUAGGGGAGCCGGAGGG
This 602-nucleotide ribosomal RNA is filed under the name Salmonella enterica subsp. enterica serovar Typhimurium. RNAcentral's name for it is "partial 23S ribosomal RNA". It matches the Rfam family "Bacterial large subunit ribosomal RNA", at positions 1 to 673 of the family's 2925-position model. The record is from RNAcentral. Lineage: Bacteria; Pseudomonadati; Pseudomonadota; Gammaproteobacteria; Enterobacterales; Enterobacteriaceae.